This 468-nucleotide ribosomal RNA is filed under the name uncultured bacterium. Its description in RNAcentral is "partial 16S ribosomal RNA". It matches the Rfam family "Bacterial small subunit ribosomal RNA", at positions 28 to 507 of the family's 1533-position model. The record is from RNAcentral.
GACGAACGCUGGCGGCGUGCUUAACACAUGCAAGUCGAACGGAAAGGCCCUGCUUUUGUGGGGUGCUCGAGUGGCGAACGGGUGAGUAACACGUGAGUAACCUGCCCUUGACUUUGGGAUAACUGCAGGAAACUGGGGCUAAUACCGGAUAGGAGCUCCUGCUGCAUGGUGGGGGUUGGAAAGUUUCGGCGGUUGGGGAUGGACUCGCGGCUUAUCAGCUUGUUGGUGGGGUAGUGGCUUACCAAGGCUUUGACGGGUAGCCGGCCUGAGAGGGUGACCGGCCACAUUGGGACUGCGCUACGGCCCAGACUCCUACGGGAGGCAGCAGUGGGGAAUCUUGCCCAAUGGGCGGAAGCCUGAUGCAGCAACGCCGCGUGCGGGAUGACGGCCUUCGGGUUGUAAACCGCUUUCGCCUGUGACGAAGCGUGAGUGACGGUAAUGGGUAAAGAAGCACCGGCUAACUACGUG